Molecule: ribosomal RNA, 2441 nt
Filed under: Escherichia coli
Lineage: Bacteria; Pseudomonadati; Pseudomonadota; Gammaproteobacteria; Enterobacterales; Enterobacteriaceae
Description: partial 23S ribosomal RNA
Rfam family: Bacterial large subunit ribosomal RNA
Source: RNAcentral
ACCAGUACCGUGAGGGAAAGGCGAAAAGAACCCCGGCGAGGGGAGUGAAAAAGAACCUGAAACCGUGUACGUACAAGCAGUGGGAGCACGCUUAGGCGUGUGACUGCGUACCUUUUGUAUAAUGGGUCAGCGACUUAUAUUCUGUAGCAAGGUUAACCGAAUAGGGGAGCCGAAGGGAAACCGAGUCUUAACUGGGCGUUAAGUUGCAGGGUAUAGACCCGAAACCCGGUGAUCUAGCCAUGGGCAGGUUGAAGGUUGGGUAACACUAACUGGAGGACCGAACCGACUAAUGUUGAAAAAUUAGCGGAUGACUUGUGGCUGGGGGUGAAAGGCCAAUCAAACCGGGAGAUAGCUGGUUCUCCCCGAAAGCUAUUUAGGUAGCGCCUCGUGAAUUCAUCUCCGGGGGUAGAGCACUGUUUCGGCAAGGGGGUCAUCCCGACUUACCAACCCGAUGCAAACUGCGAAUACCGGAGAAUGUUAUCACGGGAGACACACGGCGGGUGCUAACGUCCGUCGUGAAGAGGGAAACAACCCAGACCGCCAGCUAAGGUCCCAAAGUCAUGGUUAAGUGGGAAACGAUGUGGGAAGGCCCAGACAGCCAGGAUGUUGGCUUAGAAGCAGCCAUCAUUUAAAGAAAGCGUAAUAGCUCACUGGUCGAGUCGGCCUGCGCGGAAGAUGUAACGGGGCUAAACCAUGCACCGAAGCUGCGGCAGCGACGCUGAUGCGUUGUUGGGUAGGGGAGCGUUCUGUAAGCCUGUGAAGGUGUGCUGUGAGGCAUGCUGGAGGUAUCAGAAGUGCGAAUGCUGACAUAAGUAACGAUAAAGCGGGUGAAAAGCCCGCUCGCCGGAAGACCAAGGGUUCCUGUCCAACGUUAAUCGGGGCAGGGUGAGUCGACCCCUAAGGCGAGGCCGAAAGGCGUAGUCGAUGGGAAACAGGUUAAUAUUCCUGUACUUGGUGUUACUGCGAAGGGGGGACGGAGAAGGCUAUGUUGGCCGGGCGACGGUUGUCCCGGUUUAAGCGUGUAGGCUGGUUUUCCAGGCAAAUCCGGAAAAUCAAGGCUGAGGCGUGAUGACGAGGCACUACGGUGCUGAAGCAACAAAUGCCCUGCUUCCAGGAAAAGCCUCUAAGCAUCAGGUAACAUCAAAUCGUACCCCAAACCGACACAGGUGGUCAGGUAGAGAAUACCAAGGCGCUUGAGAGAACUCGGGUGAAGGAACUAGGCAAAAUGGUGCCGUAACUUCGGGAGAAGGCACGCUGAUAUGUAGGUGAAGCGACUUGCUCGUGGAGCUGAAAUCAGUCGAAGAUACCAGCUGGCUGCAACUGUUUAUUAAAAACACAGCACUGUGCAAACACGAAAGUGGACGUAUACGGUGUGACGCCUGCCCGGUGCCGGAAGGUUAAUUGAUGGGGUCAGCGCAAGCGAAGCUCUUGAUCGAAGCCCCGGUAAACGGCGGCCGUAACUAUAACGGUCCUAAGGUAGCGAAAUUCCUUGUCGGGUAAGUUCCGACCUGCACGAAUGGCGUAAUGAUGGCCAGGCUGUCUCCACCCGAGACUCAGUGAAAUUGAACUCGCUGUGAAGAUGCAGUGUACCCGCGGCAAGACGGAAAGACCCCGUGAACCUUUACUAUAGCUUGACACUGAACAUUGAGCCUUGAUGUGUAGGAUAGGUGGGAGGCUUUGAAGUGUGGACGCCAGUCUGCAUGGAGCCGGCCUUGAAAUACCACCCUUUAAUGUUUGAUGUUCUAACGUUGACCCGUGAUCCGGGUUGCGGACAGUGUCUGGUGGGUAGUUUGACUGGGGCGGUCUCCUCCUAAAGAGUAACGGAGGAGCACGAAGGUUGGCUAAUCCUGGUCGGACAUCAGGAGGUUAGUGCAAUGGCAUAAGCCAGCUUGACUGCGAGCGUGACGGCGCGAGCAGGUGCGAAAGCAGGUCAUAGUGAUCCGGUGGUUCUGAAUGGAAGGGCCAUCGCUCAACGGAUAAAAGGUACUCCGGGGAUAACAGGCUGAUACCGCCCAAGAGUUCAUAUCGACGGCGGUGUUUGGCACCUCGAUGUCGGCUCAUCACAUCCUGGGGCUGAAGUAGGUCCCAAGGGUAUGGCUGUUCGCCAUUUAAAGUGGUACGCGAGCUGGGUUUAGAACGUCGUGAGACAGUUCGGUCCCUAUCUGCCGUGGGCGCUGGAGAACUGAGGGGGGCUGCUCCUAGUACGAGAGGACCGGAGUGGACGCAUCACUGGUGUUCGGGUUGUCAUGCCAAUGGCACUGCCCGGUAGCUAAAUGCGGAAGAGAUAAGUGCUGAAAGCAUCUAAGCACGAAACUUGCCCCGAGAUGAGUUCUCCCUGACUCCUUGAGAGUCCUGAAGGAACGUUGAAGACGACGACGUUGAUAGGCCGGGUGUGUAAGCGCAGCGAUGCGUUGAGCUAACCGGUACUAAUGAACCGUGAG